UGGGGAAUAUUGCACAAUGGGCGCAAGCCUGAUGCAGCCAUGCCGCGUGUGUGAAGAAGGCCUUCGGGUUGUAAAGCACUUUCAGCGGGGAGGAAGGCGGUGAGGUUAAUAACCUCAUCGAUUGACGUUACCCGCAGAAGAAGCACCGGCUAACUCCGUGCCAGCAGCCGCGGUAAUACGGAGGGUGCAAGCGUUAAUCGGAAUUACUGGGCGUAAAGCGCACGCAGGCGGUUUGUUAAGUCAGAUGUGAAAUCCCCGGGCUCAACCUGGGAACUGCAUCUGAUACUUGCAAGCUUGAGUCUCGUAGAGGGGGGUAGAAUUCCAGGUGUAGCGGUGAAAUGCGUAGAGAUCUGGAGGAAUACCGGUGGCGAAGGCGGCCCCCUGGACGAAGACUGACGCUCAGGUGCGAAAGCGUGGGGAGCAAACAGG
Molecule: ribosomal RNA, 429 nt
Filed under: Chloroflexota bacterium
Lineage: Bacteria; Bacillati; Chloroflexota
Description: Chloroflexi bacterium partial 16S ribosomal RNA
Rfam family: Bacterial small subunit ribosomal RNA
Source: RNAcentral